AAAAUCGUACCUUAAACCGACGCUGGUGAAUUAGAGCAAGUGCUCUCAGGUUAAGAAGUUAACUAUACUUAAGGAACUCGGCAAAAUACUUUCGUGAUUAUUGAUAAGAAAGGUCUAUAAUAUACAUAUUGUCCGCUAACCCCCCUUUGGGGGGUUCUAUCUUCGGUUUUUGGAACGUAUGUAUAUGAGGUUAAUAAUAAACUGCUGACAACGACUGUUUAACAAAAACACAAGACACUGAUAACCUUAUUAGGGCUUUAUAGUGUCUGAUACCUGCCCAAAGGCGAAAGCAAACGGCGGCCGUAACUCUAACGGUCCUAAGGUAGCGUAGUUCCUUGGCAUUUAAUUGGUGCCGUGCAUGAAUGGUGUAACGACUGUCAGGCUGUCUCAAGUAUAGAUUUUGUGAAAUUGAAUUGUUUGUGCAGAUGCGAACAAUAGUUUGUGGGACGAUAAGACCCCAUGCACCUUUACACGGUGAUGUUUAAAGCUUAACAAGUUUAUCGGCUCUGCCUUUUAGCCCAAGCCGGAACCAAGGGCCCUUUGACUCGUAUUCCGAUUCCGGC
Molecule: ribosomal RNA, 563 nt
Filed under: Chlorogonium elongatum
Lineage: Eukaryota; Viridiplantae; Chlorophyta; Chlorophyceae; Chlamydomonadales; Haematococcaceae
Rfam family: Bacterial large subunit ribosomal RNA
Source: RNAcentral